AUUGAACGCUGGCGGCAGGCUUAACACAUGCAAGUCGAACGAUGAAACCUAGCUUGCUAGGUGGAUUAGUGGCGGACGGGUGAGUACAACUUGGGAAUCUACCUAUUAGCGGGGGAUAGCUCGGGGAAACUCGAAUUAAUACCGCAUACUCCUUACGAGGGAAAGGGGCCUGACCACUAAAUUUAAUUUAUAGUGUAUUUUAUUUACAAUAAUAUAAUUAAGUUAAAUUUAGUGGUCAGGUCUCACUAAUAGAUGAGCCUAAGCAAGAUUAGCUAGUUGGUGGGGUAAAAGCCUACCAAGGCGACGAUCUUUAGCUGGUCUGAGAGGAUGAUCAGCCACACUGGGACUGAGACACGGCCCAGACUCCUACGGGAGGCAGCAGUGGGGAAUAUUGGACAAUGGGGGAAACCCUGAUCCAGCCAUGCCGCGUGUGUGAAGAAGGCCUUUUGGUUGUAAAGCACUUUAAGCAGUGAGGAAAAGCUAGAUGUUAAUACCAUCUAGCCCUGACGUUAACUGCAGAAUAAGCACCGGCUAACUCUGUGCCAGCAGCCGCGGUAAUACAGAGGGUGCAAGCGUUAAUCGGAAUUACUGGGCGUAAAGAGAACGUAGGUGGUCAAUUAAGUCAAAUGUGAAAUCCCUGAGCUCAACUUAGGAACUGCAUUUGAUACUGGUUGACUAGAGUAGGUGAGAGGAGAGUAGAAUUCCAGGUGUAGCGGUGAAAUGCGUAGAUAUCUGGAGGAAUACCGAUGGCGAAGGCAGCUCUCUGGCAUCAUACUGACACUGAGGUUCGAAAGCGUGGGUAGCAAACGGG
This 811-nucleotide ribosomal RNA is filed under the name uncultured bacterium. RNAcentral describes it as "bacterial SSU rRNA". It matches the Rfam family "Bacterial small subunit ribosomal RNA", at positions 28 to 776 of the family's 1533-position model. The record is from RNAcentral.